GAGCAGUGGUAUCGUACGGUUUCGUUGCACACACUGAACAAGAGACAAGGCGGCAAGGCACAGUCAUGGUGACCUUCACUGUUGCAUCGGCAGGUGUUCUGUUCCUUGCUGGCAUGGCUGUAAUCGCCAUAUUCGAAUACGGCACUCAAGAGGCUAUCACACGUUAUCAAGGGACCAGCGUAUGCAACUCACCAGCAUG
This is a long non-coding RNA of Ornithodoros turicata, 199 nucleotides long. RefSeq lists it as uncharacterized. The transcript has 3 exons. The record is from RefSeq and is a predicted model, not a curated record. Lineage: Eukaryota; Metazoa; Arthropoda; Arachnida; Ixodida; Argasidae.